RNAcentral lists this ribosomal RNA (253 nucleotides) under uncultured bacterium. RNAcentral describes it as "partial 16S ribosomal RNA". It matches the Rfam family "Bacterial small subunit ribosomal RNA", at positions 524 to 776 of the family's 1533-position model. The record is from RNAcentral.
UACGGGGGGGGCAAGCGUUGUUCGGAAUUACUGGGCGUAAAGGGCUCGUAGGCGACCAACUAAGUCAAACGUGAAAUCCCUCGGCUUAACCGGGGAACUGCGCUUGAUACUGGAUGGCUUGAGAUUGGGAGAGGGAUGCGGAAUUCCAGGUGUAGCGGUGAGAUGCGUAGAUAUCUGGAGGAACACCGGUGGCGAAGGCGGCAUCCUGGACCAACACUGACGCUGAGGAGCGAAAGCCAGGGGAGCAAACGGG